This 744-nucleotide ribosomal RNA is filed under the name Rahavavy malagasyana. RNAcentral describes it as "eukaryotic LSU rRNA". The stretch from base 486 to 744 matches the Rfam family "Eukaryotic large subunit ribosomal RNA", at positions 665 to 890 of the family's 3401-position model. Lineage: Eukaryota; Metazoa; Arthropoda; Arachnida; Araneae; Phyxelididae. The record is from RNAcentral.
GUGGGCCCUCGAAAUCCUGUGGCGGGAGGAUUCAGUCGGGGGCGGCGGACGACGACAUGGAAACCGAGGUAGGGCUUCCCCGAAGCUGGGGCCGUUCGGUCGUUCGUCACUGCUGCCUCCUACGCAUUUGUCUCCCGUCCGAAGGACGCCGCAGCCGGUUGGGUAUGUGCAAGCACGGCGGCCUGAGGGGUGGACGACGGCAGGUGGCCGGUGGCCGGGAUUCUAUUUCCCAGUCGCCGGUUGUUAGCCGGUCCGCCGGUGGCCCGUCACCCGACCGAGGUGUCACGAGGCCCUUAGCGGGCCAGAAACGUGUCCUCCUCCCUGGAUGCGGGUCAGAGCGUCGCAGACGACUUCCGAGGCCUGUCGCACGCCAACAGGCGUGGACUGGAGAGCGGAAGGCGCCGAUGGUGAUGACGGACCCGUGGGAAGAAUGGAGGCUGGCGGCGAGUAGGUCGGUCACCCACCCGACCCGUCUUGAAACACGGACCAAGGAGUCUAACAUGUGCGCGAGUCAAUGGGACUUGAACAGGCCCAGGGGCGCAAUGAAAGCAAAGGAUGGCCUUAGCGUCGUCCGAGUUGGGAUCCGUCCUCUCCAAUGGGGGCGGCGCACCAACGACCCGUCCUAUCCGGCUCGUCCGGUUGGGCGGAGUGUGAGCGCACACGUUGGGACCCGAAAGAUGGUGAACUAUGCCCGGGCAGGACGAGGCCAGAGGAAACUCUGGUGGAGGUCCGCAGCGGUCUGAC